This 1566-nucleotide long non-coding RNA is filed under the name Homo sapiens (human). RNAcentral's name for it is "HSALNT0402252". Lineage: Eukaryota; Metazoa; Chordata; Mammalia; Primates; Hominidae. The record is from RNAcentral.
GACAAAACCCUCAGUUUCAUGUGCUUGAUUUGCUAGAUAGUUUCUGCGCAGCACAGAAUGGGAUGUGGGCUGGGAGGAGGCAACAUUACUCCUCCAUCAGGCUAGAAUUGACAUUUUUCCAUUGCCAAUUCCUUUUCUUUUGCAGAAAUAGCCCAGCUGUGUCAAAAUGUGCUAGAAACCCACCUUAAACGUGAGUGUUGCUUUUUACAAUGUAAACUGAAAGUUUUAGUGCCUUUCUUUUUCCUCUCCUGAUAUGGACCUGCAAUGGCAGAAAGAGUGUGGUUUUGAGAAUGCAAGCAAAUCUCCUUUUUGAUGACACCGACUUUGUCAGUUUUCUCAUUGGAAAAUGGGGAAAGCAGGACAACCUGAAAAAGCUGAAGCUAAAGCUGGCCUUUACAAGUGGCUGAGAGCUGUCCCUGAAAGAACUGAUUUCCACACGUUCAGAAACUGAUGCCAAGAAGAGGUUCACACUAUACCCACGAUUUGGAACGUCAGCUGGGAGCUUCCCACACCAGCAUCUCAUUUCAUUUUCAAGAGUGUCAUUGAGUUCCCGCGUGCCCACCACAGCACCGAUUCCUCUAGCCCUUUCCAGACAAGCUCUUCAGCACUCUUCAGUGUCUUCCCACCAUCAACAGUGCUGUUGGGAGCUCCCCUAGUGGACUGUUGCCCAUAUAAAGCCCUUCAAGGCGCUGUUAUAUCAAAGGAUUUGUGUGGACAAGCUUCAGGGAUGCAUCUGGGACAAGGCUUUUGCUGGACCUCUCGGUCCUGGGGCCUAGAGUCAGUCACGACAAAGAAGAAAGCCUGCAACAAUUGGGAAAGUCUUUGCAGGGGAGUAAGAAGGGACAGUGCUAGCCUUCCCACUGCAUUGCAAGCUCUCCUCUACAUGGGACCAGAUCAGGGCCAGGCUGUCUUCAUUGUGACGGGUGGAUUUCAGAAUUUGUAGAAUUGUGGACCUGGGAAUCUCAGGAGAGAAGCAGGUGCCAAAGGCAUUUCUAUCAUUGCAAAGCUGAUCACGUCUAUAAUUUUCCACAGCAUCUCUCUAUGAGAUCAGGUACAAGGAGAUUUCACAGUCUGGGAGGAACCUGCCGGAAAUGCAGCCCCGUGGCUUCCUGUUCUCUUCAUGGGAAGGCAUUGUCAUCAUAGCUUCCAUUUUUGCCUCUGCUCUUGUUAUUAUAUAUUCAAAGUAUUAUACCAACAUCCCUGAUGUGUAUCAUGCUUUCACAUAUUUAACUUGGCUGUCAUGAAAUUCACAAUCACCUAGACUAGGACAGGGAGGCGGAAAGGGGAGGGGUGGAUGGUGCUGAACUUGCAACUGUAGGGCUGAGUCAGAGCCCUGACUCUGCAACUUAGAAGCUUGGAACCUUAGCCUCCUACAUGUCACCUUUCUGUAUUUGGAGGCCGCAGGACCUGUUUUACUGCAACACCUGCACAGGGUUAUUGUGAUGAUCAAGGAGAGCCAAGAUUUGUGCAAAUAGUUUGGAGACUGCAAACGGAAAAUGAGGAUGGCCUCCUAGCUCGACAGAUCUGCCCAAGGCUGCAGAGCUACUAAAUGUUAGAAACAGGUCC